Molecule: ribosomal RNA, 519 nt
Filed under: uncultured bacterium
Lineage: Bacteria
Description: bacterial SSU rRNA
Rfam family: Archaeal small subunit ribosomal RNA
Source: RNAcentral
AAACUUCACACUGGGGGCAACCCCGAUGAGGGAAUUCCUAGUGCUUGGGCAUUUGUCCAAGCUUUUCCCGAGCGUAGAUAACUCGGGGAAUAAGGGCUGGGUAAGACGGGUGCCAGCCGCCGCGGUAAUACCUGCAGCCCGAGUGGUGGUCGAUUUUAUUGAGUCUAAAGCGUUCGUAGCCGGUCCGUUAAAUCCUUGGGUAAAUCGGGAAGCUCAACUUUCCGACUUCCGAGGAGACUGGCGGACUUGGGACCGGGAGAGGCCAGAGGUACUUCUGGGGUAGGGGUAAAAUCCUGUAAUCCUAGAAGGACCACCGGUGGCGACGGCGUCUGGCUAGAACGGAUCCGACGGUGAGGGACGAAGCCCUGGGUCGCAAACGGGAUUAGAUACCCCGGUAGUCCAGGGUGUAAACGCUGCCGACUUGGUGUUGGGGGCCCUUCGUGGGAACUCAGUGCCGGAGAGAAGUUGUUAAGUCGGCACUUGGGGAGUACGUCCGCAAGGAUGAAACUUAAAGGAAUU